AAUGAAGUGCCUGACAAAAGGAUUAUUUUGAUAGAAUAAACCAUGUAAAUUUAUUUUACUUUCAUUA
Molecule: transfer RNA, 67 nt
Filed under: Rhithrodytes bimaculatus
Lineage: Eukaryota; Metazoa; Arthropoda; Insecta; Coleoptera; Dytiscidae
Description: tRNA-Ile
Source: RNAcentral